Non-coding RNA from Delphinapterus leucas (beluga whale), 2225 nucleotides. The record is from RefSeq and is a predicted model, not a curated record. NCBI's taxonomy places the organism in Eukaryota, Metazoa, Chordata, Mammalia, Artiodactyla, Monodontidae.
UUAAAAAGAAGUAACAUUAAAAAAAAUCAUCAUGUUAUAUCUAAUAUAUAUUUAAAAACAUGGGAAACAUACACAUAAGGGAAGAAGCACAGUGAUAAAAUGGAGACCCUCAAUCCCACUACCUAAAUUAAGAACUAGAUAGUACAAGUAUGAAUAUUAAAUUUACCCUUUUCUUUCUUUUUAAAAUUCCUAAAGUGGAGCUCUUAAUUCUGUCAAAACACAUACAUAGACUAAUAGACUAUAAGUAAACCAUAAACCAGCAUCCUUGAUAGGUGGAUAUCCAGUCUUUAAUUACAUACUUCCCAUGACAGGAUAUUCACUACCUCAUAAUGCAAGUUACUCUGUCAUUGAGCAGCCCCCUUUUAGAAGAGUCUUCCUUAUAUUGAACUGAAAUCUGCAUCCUGUAACUUCCAUCCAUUUUAAAAGGUAGAAUUUUAGUUUUCCUUCAAGUAAAAGGGAGUAGGCAGUCCAGAGCUGGUACUUUUCUGCUCUGCUAUUUUUAGUGCACGGUUUCAUGGUUCAAGAUGGCCACUGAGUUCAAACCACCAUCAGAGUUCCAGACAGAAAACCCAAAAAGGGAGAGAGGGUGCAUGCCAACAACCUUUCUUCCUUUUAAGAAGAUUUUCUGUAAAUCGUAGUCAACAAUGCUCGCUUACCUGUCAUUGGACAGAGCUAAGUCACGGGGCCAUCCUUGGCUAUAAGGCAAACUGGGAAAUGUAGUCUUUUAGCUAGAACAUUACCAUCCUAAAUAAAAGUAGGUUUCUGACACCAAGAAAGAAGAGAAGAAUGGAUAUAAGACAGACAGGCAACUUGCAGUCCCCACUACACGAGUGAAUCAAGCAGUAAGCAGUGCAGAGUGUAUAGACAUAGUAUAGAGUCAGUGUUCUCCAGAGAAACAGAACCAAUAGGAUUCAUUUUAAGGAAUUGGCCCAUUUGACUGUGGAAGAGGACAAGUCUGAAAUCUGCACGGAGGCCCAGCUGGAGAUCCAGGGAGGAGCUGAUGUUGCAGCUUGAGUCCAAAGACAGUCUGCUGGCAGAAUCCUUUUUUCUUGGGGGACCUCAGUCUCUUCUCCUAAGGCUUCAUCUAAUUGGAUGAGACCCACCCACAUUAUGGAGGCUAGUCUGCUUUACUCAAAGUCUACUGGGUUAAAUGUUAAUCGCAUCUAAAAAAUGCCUUGACAGCAACCUCUAGACUGGUGUUUGACUGAGUGCCAUGACCCAGCGAGAUUGAUACACAAAGUCAGCCAUUACACAUGGUCACAGAUACAAGCAGAUGUGGCUGCUCUGUUUCUAAUGGACUGAAGUGGAUGUGAAGUUCAGUGGAUUCGCCAGCCCUGGAGGAACUUGCAAGGUUGCAUUUUCCAAAGAUGGUUGUGACGACAUCCCUCAUCCCACAUGCUCGUCUGCAGUGCUACCGUCAAGAGGCAGAAGCUUCCGUCCCUGCCCUUGAAUGUAACCGGCCACAGUGACAUGCUUGCAUCCAAUAAUGUGGCAUGGAGGGUGACUUCCGAGGUUAGGCCAGGAAGGCCAUGCAGCUUCCUCCAGGUUUUCUCACAAGAGUUGCUUUCUGGACAUCCCUCCUGAGGUGCUGUAUCUCAGAGCUGGUCGCCAUGCUGUGGGAAACCCAAGUCACAUGGAAAGGCCACACACGUGUGCUCCUGUUGACAGUGCCAGUGGAGGCUGGCCUUUGAGUCAUUUCAGCCUUGGUACCAGACAUGUACUGGAGAAAGAUGCCCAUUCCUCUGGGACAGUGCAAUCCUGCCCCACAGCACACAGCCUCGCAGGCGAAGUGCAGGCUCCUUUCAUCCCCCUCCUGAACCUGGUCAGAUAUCUUCGGCAGCUUACAAACUGCACAGUUGUACACAGCGGCCCUGGAGAAGUGUAAAAUUUUAGGGAGAAGGAAAGUCUGAUUUGAGACAGUCUCUUUUACUAUGUCAAAGAAAUCCUGGUCAAAGGACUCUUUCAUGAACAAAGAGGAUUCACGAUGUUUGUCUUGCCACUUACCCUGAAAUUUUUAUCACAGGUAAAUGAACUGAAGAUUUUCUAUGACUUAUAUUCCUCACAGUCAACACGUUACGGCUUUUCAGAUUUCAUUUUCCUCACAACAGCCUUCUUCUGUGCAGGGAACACGUUUGCAAUCUGGCCUCUUCCACUUGACUAUGGAGAGUGGUCAGUCUUGACGUUUGCAAGCCUCUCACUGUUGUGGCCUCUCCCUUUGCGGAGCA